AUUGAACGCUGGCGGCAUGCCUUACACAUGCAAGUCGAACGGCAGCGCGGGAGCAAUCCUGGCGGCGAGUGGCGAACGGGUGAGUAAUACAUCUGAACGUGCCCAAUCGUUGGGGAUAACGCAUCGAAAGCUGUUCUAAUACCGCAUACGAUCUACGGCUGAAAGCCGGGGAUCGCAAGACCUUUCGCGUUUGGAUCGUCCGAUGGCCGAUUAGGUAGUUGGUGAGGUAAAGGCUCACCAAGCCUUCGAUCUGUAGCUGGUAUGAGAGGACGACCAGCCACACUGGGACUGAGACACGGCCCAGACUCCUACGGGAGGCAGCAGUGGGGAAUUUUGGACAAUGGGCGAAAGCCUGAUCCAGCAAUGCCGCGUGCAGGAUGAAGGCCUUCGGGUUGUAAACUGCUUUUGUAAGGAACGAAACGGUCUUUUCUAAUAAAGAAGGCUAAUGACGGUACCGUAAGAAUAAGCACCGGCUAACUACGUG
RNAcentral lists this ribosomal RNA (484 nucleotides) under uncultured bacterium. RNAcentral's name for it is "partial 16S ribosomal RNA". It matches the Rfam family "Bacterial small subunit ribosomal RNA", at positions 30 to 507 of the family's 1533-position model. The record is from RNAcentral.